CCGGGCUCGCCCCCGUGCAGGUCUCCGGAACACGUCCCUGGGCGAGAGAAGAAACGUCCCAGGCAGAGACAGCGGCAGCACUGACGUACCAAAAGCCCGCAGGGAGAGCGCACAGGCUCCUGUCUCGCAGCGUCUUCGUGAAGGGCAAAAGUGGGACUGAAGUCCCCUCAAAAUGACACUCUUUUCUCCUAUGCUUAAUGUUUCUGUUCCAAUAACUUCGAUUUUCCUGUGUAAAAGCUUCACAGCUGCCUCUCCACAAGGAUACUCUAUAAGUACAAUAGCUAAAGGGAGCAUGCCAAGAGGAUGGAGCCACGCUCUUCUUGGUGGUACCAAGCAAUAGGACGAGAGACUACGGGCAGAAACUGAUGCGUGGGAAGUUCCAUCUGAAUAUGAGGAAGAACUUUUUUACCAUGCAGGCAGCUGUAUCCUUUCUCGUUGUACAGAAACAAUCAGAGCAUGCAUGGACUCCAGUGCCCUUCCCUCCUCCGGCCUUGGCACACAGUGUAGAUACCAGGAUGAUUACUAGAGAUACAAGCAGGGAAGCUGGGACUGAGAAAAGAAGAAGCAGAAUCCAAGAGAGGUAAGGAACUAGGGGGCAUGAGCAUGAUGAAAAUGCAGGGCCAAAGAUGGCAGGGUAAAGAUGGAAGUCAGAGAUGAAAUGGGGAAGUAUUUAUGAAAUGAACUCUUUCUAGAGUUUGUUUAAUGAAGUAAGGGAAAUAAAUGUUUGUAAGAUCCACGUGCUGGCUUGCAUUACAGAAAGAACCAGUUCCAAAAGCCCCACUCAAAGUCUUAGCUGGGCUUUCUGCCCCUCUGUUCUGUGUUCCUCACUGCUUUCUACUACAACUUCUAUUUACUUCUACUACAGCAUUCAGCUUCCCUGAUUUUGUCUUUGCACUCAAAAUCUGGGUCAUUGUUCUCAUUGCAUGUCUACCUGCUGACCUGUGUCAUGAAUUUGUGCACUGUCCCACUUCACAGUCCCUUACAUACACUACCAAGUCCUUAUGGCAGGGAAUGAGUUACAGAGAGAGUCAGAGUGGAGAGAUACAACUGAGUAUUUACUGACAGCAAGCUUAAAAGCAGAGACCAGUUAGUCCCUACUGAGGUGUGAUACUUGUCCUUUUUAUGGAAGAGUGUUCCAGCCAGAGAAAUUGAGGUUUGAAAGGUCUUAUAAAGGCACCAAGAAUGAAUGUGGCAGAUGGGCAGCAAUAAUGCUCUCAUGCUUCAGAAGAAGAAAGUAUACUCUUGGAUGAGAAAAGAAGAAAUAAGGAGUGCUAAGGAGAGGCAACACAGGGAGAAUUUUUUAAUUAUUAUUAUCAAUCAUGUCAUUACUGAAAUAGGAAUUUACAGGAUUCUCUUCAUUCAAUGCUGUCCAAUAAUACAUUAAUAAUUAAUCAGUGGGAAUGUAUCUGUAGUGCUCUAAAAAUAUAACUAAGGUAAGGUCAGAGAGAAAGUUAGUAUCUUUUUUUAAGCUCUGUGAUGCUAUUGGGAAGCAAAAAUCAGUUAAACUUGCAUGCAUGCAAGUCUUUUUUUACACUGCAAAAUCAGUCCAUUUAAUCAAUUGGUGUGAUAAAGAUAAAAUGCUUCUCACUACAAACUCAGCCAUCUGAGUAAGGAAGAUAAGCAAAAGUGACUGAAAUGCCAUACCUAGGCAGUAUCACUGAGAAAAAACACCAUCAUAUGGUAUCUAAUUACAUAAUUCCACCUAUAAAUUCUUUAAAGAUUAAUAAUUAUGUAUAUUUAUUACUCACCAUGAAUAGUUAAUUAACAAUAUGUAAUAUAUUAAGCUAUAACAUUUGCUAGUCUUUAGUAAACUUAAAACAUGAAGAGGUAUAAUCAGGUGCAAGAUUCUCUCCUUUUAAUAACAAUUUUAAAUCUUUAAAUUCUUUCUUUACUGGAAUUUAGUUACUUAGCCAUGGUAACUUUUGUAUAUUUAGAAUUCAAUUCUAUUUACUACAUUCAGAAAUUAGCUGAAAUUCAGAAAACAGCAAUCUUAUUAAACUACUGGUGUUAAAUAAGUAGUUAGAAUAUCAAUUUUCAAGAGGAUCAGCAUCUUAUACUUCUGCUAGUGUGUUCAAGGGUCAGAAGAGCAGUUACUCUGUGCCAGAAGAGGAAAACAACAUUAUAACAAGUCAUUAGAUCAAGACACAAAUCAGAUCAACUUAAUUAAAAAACCCAGUCCUAAUCAGAUGCAUUUGUAUCAUUCCCCCUGUUUUUGUUCUUUCAGGAAGUUAAA
This is a long non-coding RNA of Myiozetetes cayanensis, 2233 nucleotides long. RefSeq lists it as uncharacterized. The record is from RefSeq and is a predicted model, not a curated record. Lineage: Eukaryota; Metazoa; Chordata; Aves; Passeriformes; Tyrannidae. The transcript has 3 exons.